AUGCUCUUCAACCCCACUGGUUCCCAACCACCUGUCGCUAGCACAAACAUCUGUAUUUGUACUAGUACGAUUGGGAGAAAGGAGGUUUGGAGAAAAAUUCAAAAUUACUCACUCAACUACUACAUCUACCCACCAAUCGACAUUUGAAAUGCGACAAAACGAGCCGCCAGGAAUGCCACGUGGCACAAAGACGCUGGCAUGGUUUAUGGAUCGUACGGGCAUUUUUGAGAAGCAGCAGCAGCAAAUGAUGCAAGUUAGGCGGAAUUCAUCGUCUGAUGACUCAAAAUCGACAACACCAUCGGCUCAGCAACAAUUUCAACAACAACAGCAACAGCAGCAAAAAAAGCAAAAACGAUAUCGAAAAACGUUGAGUCAACAGGGAACCACACGGAAAGAAGCAUUCGGUGGAAGUCAGGCUAUGAGUGAAAGUUCAGAAGAAGGCACAGCUAUUAUUUCCACUGCUCUGACGUCAUCAGGAGCCCCAAGCUGUGCCACACCAGGAAUUUCAGCCGCCACUACUACAGCUAACGGCAAUAAUAAUGAGGAAUAUUGGUUCUAUGACGUUGCAACUGAUGGAUAUUAUUACGAACAAAAUGGUGCAAAAGGAUGGAGGAGAAGGCAACCGAAUCAGGCGGUACAUAAAAGUGCUGGAAAAGAUUCGGAAGUAGCUCAUAUGAACGUGAAUGGACCCUCAAAAUACAACCAAUUGCUCGCCGCCCAGGCCGCCGCCGCUCAGGCCGCCUUCCUUCAACAGGCCUUCCAACUUCAGGCUCAACAGCAGGCUUCUCAGGCCCCACAAGGAGCCCACGCACCACCACCACCACAACAGCAGCAGCAGCCAACAAUGCGAUAUUAUGAUGCAAAUUCGGAUGGAUUCUUUUAUGAAAUGGCAUCAGUUGACGGGUGGAAGCGUCGGCAACCGAAUAAGCCUGUUUCAGCAUCGGUCCCCGCUGGAAUUACACGUCCUUAUAGCCAGAGGCCUGCUGCACAGCAAAUUCCACAAGAAGUUGCUGCUCCAUAUCAUCCAUCUACUGCUGCUCCAACAUCUGGAGCAUCCUCAUACGGAGCCGCCCUGGCACGUGGCCAAUUCCCCCGUAACACUGUUAAACACGACGAAAAAUGUGCACAAAAUGCUCAGCAGCAGCAGCCACGUGGUGAUUCUACGUCAUCAAGUCAGUGCGGGGACACAUUUGCCGAGCUCUUCAGCUCAUCGGAUCCCGUCUACAUUCCACGCCCGAGUGCUCUGAAUUUGGAGCAAAAAGCUGUGUCGCCGUCGGAAAACUCGACGGCAGCACUGUUUGACGCGGUUUUGGCCGAUUUUGGAGGCUUUAAGGCAACAUCAGCAAAUCUCAAUCCACUUCUACCAGGAAUAUCAUCAUCGCAAAGUCCGAUGAAAGGAGAAUCAUGGAAUUCGUUCCGAAGUUGCUCACUUUUCAGUCCAAUUAAGCCGUCGAAACGGGCUCCUCUGAGCUCCAACGGUCUACAGACACAGGCUUCUGCUGCUGCUAUGGAAGAUUUCGAUGAUGAUUCGACGAUGAAAAUGUUGAUUCAAGAUUUGGAUAAACUGUGGGCAAAUAGUCCGGUUUCAGGCCUAAAUCAGGCUUAA
This 1606-nucleotide unclassified non-coding RNA is filed under the name Caenorhabditis elegans. RNAcentral's name for it is "Non-coding transcript of protein-coding gene F53H2.3d". Lineage: Eukaryota; Metazoa; Nematoda; Chromadorea; Rhabditida; Rhabditidae. The record is from RNAcentral.